CUCUUAAUUUUUAAGUUUCACAGUUAUAAAACAAAAACAGCAUUUUACCCCUAUGUUCUAUUUUUAUCCAUGGCAGCCAUCUUGGUUGAUAGGUGGGGUCAACGGAUAACUAGAUACCCUAAGGAUGAUUUAGGCCAAGUUUGGUUUUAUUUAGCCUUGUAGUUUCAGAAGAAAAUUUUUGUAAAAGUUAACGGACAACAACCCACCACUACGACAGACGCCAAGUGAUGAGAACAGCUUGUUUGACUCAUUUGGCCCAGGUAAUCUAAAAUGACAUAA
RNAcentral lists this long non-coding RNA (279 nucleotides) under Mytilus galloprovincialis (Mediterranean mussel). The record is from RNAcentral. Lineage: Eukaryota; Metazoa; Mollusca; Bivalvia; Mytilida; Mytilidae.